UACGUAGGGUGCGAGCGUUAAUCGGAAUUACUGGGCGUAAAGCGUGCGCAGGCGGUUUUGUAAGCCAGAUGUGAAAUCCCCGGGCUUAACCUGGGAAUGGCAUUUGGGACUGCAAGGCUGGAGUGUGGCAGAGGAGACUGGAAUUCCCGGUGUAGCGGUGAAUGCGUAGAUAUCGAGAGGAACACCUGCGGCGAAGGCGGGUUGCUGGGCUGACACUGACGCUGAUUGUGCGAAAGCUAGGGGAGCGAACGGG
Molecule: ribosomal RNA, 253 nt
Filed under: uncultured bacterium
Lineage: Bacteria
Description: partial 16S ribosomal RNA
Rfam family: Bacterial small subunit ribosomal RNA
Source: RNAcentral